GGACCAUCAACCCCCGGUGGUGUCGUUUCCAGUGAAAACCGAACUCCGGGAUGUAGCCGGAUUGGAGAGAAGCGAGUGACGCGUGCGCCCCCUUCCUGCGGCGGAUGGAUGAACGUUUCCUCCAAACCUCUCAAGAGCCCGUGGGAUUUUACCCUUUCACCUGCCUCCGCUUCUGCUGUAUCUUGUCCCAGUUCGUUAAGUGUGAAGGUCUCAGCAGCCACACCUCGACAGCAUACCGGGAACUCUCAAUACUCCUCUACCCAUUAGCAAUA
RNAcentral lists this long non-coding RNA (272 nucleotides) under Homo sapiens (human). RNAcentral describes it as "non-protein coding lnc-PGPEP1L-1:2". The record is from RNAcentral. Lineage: Eukaryota; Metazoa; Chordata; Mammalia; Primates; Hominidae.